This is a long non-coding RNA of Sebastes umbrosus (honeycomb rockfish), 538 nucleotides long. RefSeq lists it as uncharacterized. The transcript is spliced from 2 exons. NCBI's taxonomy places the organism in Eukaryota, Metazoa, Chordata, Actinopteri, Perciformes, Sebastidae. The record is from RefSeq and is a predicted model, not a curated record.
AGGAGCAGGAGGAGGAGGAGGAAGAGGAGGAGGAGGAGCAGCAGGAGGAGAAGGAGGAGGAAGAGGAGCAGGAGCACUAGGAGGAGGAGGCGGGACCUCUGCUGUGACUGACAGCUCUGAGAGCCAAUGGGGACGUUGACGUGCUUCCUGUUGUGCUGCCUUCAGGGCCCCUCGGACGUUUCUGAUUCAGAUGCCAGAAGCUGAAGAGAGAUGAAGGCAGAGAAGAGAAGAUCCUCAUCAUCAUCAUCCUCAUCAUGAUGCAGCCUUCUGACGCCACCUAGUGGCAGAACAAAGAAAUGAUCUCCACAGAGUGAAUCAGGUCCAGAUGAUUUAUUAACACAGUGUGUUAUUACAGAUAUAUUGAGAUGAUGUGAGUGAUGAUUAGGCAUUUAAAUAAGAUAUAAGUUAGAAGUGAACACUGAUCAACAUGCAGCCUCCUCUUGGUAAUGAUUGUCCCGUUACUGUUCCCCAAAAACACCUUCAAGUAUCUUCUGAAAUGUACGAAAUAAACAGUAAAAUAACUUCAGUCAAAUCUCAU